This 297-nucleotide long non-coding RNA is filed under the name Brassica napus (rape). RNAcentral describes it as "long non-coding RNA (BNAP_LNC016686)". Lineage: Eukaryota; Viridiplantae; Streptophyta; Magnoliopsida; Brassicales; Brassicaceae. The record is from RNAcentral.
UCCUACAGUGAAUAUAUUAGCCUCGUUUAUUGUGGUCCAGAAUUUUACGUGGUUCCCAAACUCUCUGAAGCAAACAUCUGCAUAAGCUGUAAAGUCUUUUCUGCGGAAAUAUAAAAAAGUAGGUGUUAGUAGUUUUCCGGUCAUUUUUCUUCUUCUAGAAUUAUGUAAAAAAAACGAAGGUAGGUAAACGCCAGUUUGAUUAGCCUUUACAUAAUUCUGCGGUUGAGCCAUCCUCCAUAUUCAUCCUCGAGUUGCUGAGGAUGAUCGUAAUGGUACAGUGUAACAUGUGGUUCAAUU